CCCUUAGACGUUCUGGGCCGCACGCGUGCUACACUGAGUGGAUCAGCGGGUCAGGUUGCGCGAAAGCGUUUCCUAAUCUUUAAAUCCGCUCGUGAUGGGGAUUGACGGUUGCAAUUUUCUGUCAUGAACGAGGAAUACCUUGUAAGCGCGGGUCAUCAUCCCGCGCUGAAUACGUCCCUGCCCUUUGUACACACCGCCCGUCGCUCCUACCGAUUGGAUGGUCCGGUGAAGCCUCGGGAUUGUGGUUCUUGCCGCUUUAUUGUGGCGUGACCGCGAGAACUUGUCUAAACCUUAUCAUCUAGAGGAAGGUGAAGUCGUAACA
This 322-nucleotide ribosomal RNA is filed under the name uncultured eukaryote. Its description in RNAcentral is "partial 18S ribosomal RNA". It matches the Rfam family "Eukaryotic small subunit ribosomal RNA", at positions 1470 to 1796 of the family's 1831-position model. The record is from RNAcentral.